RNAcentral lists this long non-coding RNA (28175 nucleotides) under Malus domestica (apple). Its description in RNAcentral is "long non-coding RNA (MDOM_LNC009540)". The record is from RNAcentral. Lineage: Eukaryota; Viridiplantae; Streptophyta; Magnoliopsida; Rosales; Rosaceae.
UUUUUUUUUUUUUUUUUUUUUUACUUUUUGUAGCAAGUAUAGUGCAAGCAAUAUGAGUGACGGUGAGAGGAAAUUAAACACACAAAUUUGUGCCAAAAUGAAUGAUCUAUAAUAUAAAAAUUUCAGAAGAUGUGUACAUUGAUCUAUAUAUCAUAAAAUUCCGAUGCCGGCAUGCUGGCCGUCACGUUCCGUCAGUGUGCCAGGCACGUGUCUGCACGUAGCCGGCGCGUGACGACCAGCAAGCCUCAAUUUGGGUCGGGGUGUGUCAUGUAUGAACAUUUUUCUUUAUUUACCUCUAAAAGUUUACCAUAUGUUUCCGUCCUUGAUGUUUUGACGCUCAAUCGUUUAUGAAUGUGGAAUUUAACACAGUUACGCGAAGAAGGUUGUGAAGAGCAACUUUUGUAUAUGCUCCGACCAAAAAUUGUGGGCAAAAACGCCGAAAUACUAGUAGUCGUUGAUGACGGUUUGAGCGUAAAUAUAUAAAACAUGAUAAUAGUAUAAACUAUAGGAAAAGAAAUAAAGUAAAAAGUUUAUGAAAAUAGAGAUAACUUUUUUUUUUUUUGGGUAAAGGAGAUAGAGGUAACUUACUCCUAAAAUCAACAUGCAAAUAUUUUGCCGUUUCUAUUGACAAUGAAAUUGUAUAAUUAGAAGAUCCUCGUGAUCUUAUUUAGAACCUCCUUAAUCAGGACUUGUAAUGGUUUGAAUUCAAUAAAAUAUCGAGUUUUCGUAAAAAAAAAAAAACACUUGCUCCUAAAUCAACGUGCAAGUAUUUUGGCACUUACUUAAAUCAUCAUGACCGUUGGAGCGUGCCACUUCAGGGGACAAACAUGAAAUUUCACUAUCACAGAUCUGAUGAUCUGGAUCAUGACCGUUGGAGCGUGCCACUUCAGGGGACAAACAUGAAAUUUCACUAUCACAGAUCUGAUGAUCUGGAAUAAUCCUAGCCAUUACAAAAGCUCGCGAUCUCGUGAAUACCCGUCAUAAGGUAGGGGUACUUCCGGAAAUCUACUUUUAAAAUAUUCCAAAUUUGACCGUUAUAACACUCGAAACCCUCGCGACCGUUUCAAAGUCCCACUCACCACUCACCCCAGAAAUUCCCACUACCUUUCUCUGACACAAAAAUCCAUGGCCGACGAGAGCACAAACAAAUCGAUCAUGGAGCCGAAGUUCUCUCACCCACUUCACCAAAUCUCUCAGUCUCCGAGCCACAAGCUUCUCCUGAAGCAAUGGCUGAAAGAAGAAGAGCUAAUCCUCAACAGGGUCUCUCUCAAGGAGUCCCAAAUCGACUCGGUUCGAAAGGAGAUCACGAUGCUCUUCAUCUUCUUCUUCCUCUUCCACUCCACGGCUCUCACCCUUCUCUUCAGUUCAUCGUCUCGGGACCCGAACGGGUCCGCGUGCCGCAGGUCCUGGAUCCCAUCGCUCUGCUCUCUCUGCUUCUCGCUGGGGAUCAUUUGGGCGAUAAGGUAUAAAAGCGACACGGAGGGGCACCUGGAGAAGUUGUUGGAGAGAGAAAAGGAGGAUAAGAACCUUCUGGGAAAAUGCAUUGAGGAGCUGAAGAAGAAGGGGUUGGAGUUCGAUUUGUUGAAGGAGGUCGACGCGCUGAGGAGGGCCAAGAGUUUGAGAGUCGAAGCGAAGGCGGUGAGGAAGUGGAAUGCGAGGGAUUUUGUGACUCUGUUUUUCUUCACUGUGUCUUGCUUUGUGAUCAUUGUCACCAGAGUUAUUUUGUGUAACUAGGAAGGUCGAAAUCGGGUUGGAUUUCGGGGAUUAGAUUGGUUAAUUAUUGGGUUUUGGAUAAGUGGUGGGGGAAGAAAUUGGUUGCAGAAUGUUUUGUUCUGCUAUUUGUAAUUCGGGGAAUUUACGUUGGCAUAGUUAUGAAACAAAUCUGGAUGACUGCUCAUAUUAGCCUUAAAAUGUUUUUUUUUUUUUUUUUUGACUAUUAAAUUUGAUCUCAUUUGAUUAUAACCGUUAUAUUAUAAGUAAAAAACAGCAUUUGAUUAUAACCGUUAUAUUAUAAGUAAAAAACAAAAAAAAAAAGUUUGAAAUAUGAUUGUUUGAUGGGUCUAGAAUAAUUUAAGCCAAACUUAAAUCCUGGGAGAAUCUAGCCCAGAGAUAUAUUUUCUUCCCAUGACCCAUGGUUGGAGAUAGUUUGAGGGGGUUUUAAAGCUUAUAUUUUAAGCUUUAUCCCGUCGGUUGGAGAUAGUGUAAGAAGAAGAAAAAUUGAGAUAGCACAUGCAUGGGGAGUAAGAAAGAAACUAAAAUAUUAAACAGUGAGCCAACAAUGGCCACGAGGUUCUCAAGGUAGGGUUAAAAAUAGGCCACUGCAAUGGAGCUGGCUAGUAAUUCCACCCUUGCAAGCAGUCUAGAAUGUCUCUAUUUCGCCGAUUUCUGUAAUUCUCUGUUCGAUAACUUUAACUACCGGAAUAAGAAGAAUGGUGGAGAUUGCAACUUCUGCACUAACUUGUUUGGUAAGGAGUUAAACAAAGGAAUUAAACACUAGUGUGUGAGUAAUUCAUUGAUUUCGAAACUGAAAUCCUUGCACUUAAUCUUACAAAUUUGAAAUUUCAUAUAUAGAAAAUCAAUUUGUUUUACCAAUCUACAAAUACGAAAAUCACAUAUGGAAAUAAGCUAUAUAUAUAUAUUGCGACGUUUAGUCACGAAACCACCCCUGCGGUUGCAUUUCACUCUUUAAUUUUCCACAUACGCGUGAUCCACUGGUAGUACUUGGGUUCAAGCUUCUGUUCUUUCCAAACUUUGGCGAAGUCUGAAAAUUAGUUGACCUGCGAAAUCUGAAGAAAGAUCGGAGAACAACACGUCUUUCUCUUCUUUCAGCCAAGUAGAGAACUCAUUGUUCUUGGCACUCAAGUUUCUGCUAGCAAAAAUACGACUUCUCAAGUCCUAACCAUCAGAAAAGCCGAGGAUCCCUUAUGCCAACUGCCAAACUUCUACUUUCCAAAGCACAGCUUCUAGACUGAAACGAAGGUGCAUCCACGUUUUACGAGUUCACACAUCAGUUGCUAGAUACAGGGAACGGUUAGUUGCCAAUGGAUUUCUCAAGAAGCUGGAUUAGACUACUAUGAGACCUUUAGUCUUGUGGUUAAACCAACCACAGUGAGAUUGGUUUUAGCAUUGGCUGCUCACAUAGCUGGAAACUAAGCAAUUAAAUGUAAAAAAAUGCAUUCUUCCAUGAGUUGAAGAGAAAGUUUAUAUGGCUCAGCCCCAAGGGUUCGGUCAUAGUUCUCACCCAAAUUAUGUUUGUAAGUUGGAGAGUUCUUUAUCUGGUUUAAAAGUUAAAACAGGCUCCUAGAGCCUGAAACGACAAGGUCACCAAGUUUAUGCUUCAAUUAGGAUUUAAGUCCUCUUAUGAAGAACUUUCUUUGUUUGUCAAGUAUGAUGGUAAGUCUAUUAUUGUCUUACUAUUAUAUGUUGAUGAUAUUAUUCUCACUGAUGAUAGUGGUGGUGCAAUUCAAGAUUUCUCAAUUGGCAAGGGAAAUUUGAUUUGAAAGACUUGGGUAUUUUGCAAUUUUCCUUGGACUUCAAAUUAUUAUCAGUCACAAGGGCUAUGAAGUAUGUCAAGGAUUUACUGAACAAAGCCAACAUGUUGGAUUGUAAACCUUGUCUUACUUCUUAUCAUCCUAAUCGGAAAUUGUUGAAUCUGAAGUGCUCCGUUUUCAGAUACUGCAUUUUACAAAAGUAUUGUUGGUGCUCUAUAAUAUUUGAUAUUUACUAGACCAGACAUUGCUUUCAUAGUAAACCAAGUGUGUCAGCUCAUGCAUUCACCUCUUGAAUCUCUUUUUGCUACAGUCAAAAGGUUUUUGAGGUAUCUUAGGUGCAACAUACUGAUUUUGUAGUAUUUAUUGGCUCCAAUCCUAUUUCUUGGAGUUCUAAGAAGCAACACAUUGUUAGUAGAUCCUCCACAGAAGCAUAAUACACAACUAUGGCUACUGUCAUUGCAGAAGUUGUUUGGAUACAUCAGCUACUCAAGGACUUACAUUUCUAGCAUUGGCUACUAAUCCCCACUAAUCCUGUAUUGCAUUCCAAGGCCAAACAUAGAGACUGACUAUCAUUUUGUGCGUGAAAGAGUUCAACAAGGAACUAUUAUGUUGCAUUAUGCGGCUUUUGCAGACCAGUAUGUAGAUAUAUUCACAAAAGGAUUGUGUUCUCCCUAAUUUAUUUUUCAUUGUUCUAAUCUCAUGUUUGGUUGUUCAAAGCAUGAGCUUGAUGAGGAUGAUGGUGUUAAAUAUGCCAUGUGUCAUUAUCACCAUUGGAUUUGUCUUAACUUAGUUAAUCUACUGUGUAUGUUGUAUCUAUAAAUAAUAUGAGUUCCGUAAUUAUUACACAAUUAUUAACUGAGAUUUCAAAUUACAUCUGCCAGUUUCUCUCUCUUCGAUUCUUUUGUCUCUAUCUCUCUCUUUAGAUUUUCUCUAGAUUGUUCGUAAUUGUUCUAAAUUGUUGACAAUAAAUAAUUAAUUAUUUUUCAGUAUCUAUAUGUGUAUGUAUUUCAUUUAUACAAAUAAAAUAACCUUCAAUUUUUUUUUGAACUUUCUACAAAUUUUCUUAUUCAAAUCUUGAAAUAUGUCAAGAAAAUCCAAGGUAUGUAGGGAAGUAGUGUGGCCCAUACGUGUUUUAUCAUAUUGAUAAGGGAGCCAACAUGAAAGCCAGUCAACUACCAAUGUGCUACCAUGGAUAUAUAAGCCAUGGGGGCCAAUCUGGUAAGAUUAUUGCAGCCAUGUACGGAUUGACUGGGAGACUAGACUAUUGUUUCGGAUCGUUUUCAAAUUUCAACUGAAGGCUAAGUGUACCAACCAAUUUUCAAAGUUCAACUCAGACUUUGGUUUUCUUGGAAAUAGAAUAAAGAAGCAGAACAUAAUUAGAAAAGGAAACUUACUCCAUCAAUGGCUUGGAUCGAGGCAGUCAAUUUUCGACCAAGUAUUUUAUCUAAUUGUAAUAUCCUAUUAUUGGUAAAUUACAUUUUGACCUCUCCCAUUUUUGUUCAAUUUUAAAUUCAAAUAAAGGAUUUUUAAAUUUUUUCAAUUCAUGCAACGGCUCACGAUUUAAUACUAGUGUCAUACAAUCGUUAGAGAUUCUAUUAAGUUAACCGUUAAAUGAUGAUACGACAAAUAACUGACUCAUAUAUUUGCUAACGUGACAAUCAAUUGUACGACAUUAUUACACUAUUUUAUUUACAAGAACAAUCUUUAGGAAUUAUGGUGGGGGGGAAAAAUAGUGUUGUUUAAUUUUUAAGUUUUUAUGGGGGUGAGAUUUAUAAGGUGGCUGGGGUGAUAGGGUUGGUCAUUGGUGGGUGGGACUAGAAGCUGUCACAUCCUAGCCCGGAUCCCAUCACAUCCCUAGCUCGACUCCGCCGUAGUAUGAUAUUGUCGCUUUGAGCCCCGACCACGCCCUCACGGUUUUGUUUUUGGGAACUCACACGAGAAAUUCUUAGUGGGUCACCUAUCAUGGGAUUGCUCUCGCGCGAAUUCGCUUAAUUUCGGAGUUCUGAUGGAAUCCGAAGUCAGUGAGCUCCCAAAAAGCCUCGUGCUAGGUAAAGUUGGGAAUAUACAUAUAAGGCUUAUAUGAUCCUCAACCCUGAACGAUGUGGGAUCUUACAAAAGUUCCCUUUAUUGAUUAAAGAACAUUAAACAAACAAUAAAUUAAGGAGCACUAAAUUGUGUGUUAUAGCAUGUUUAGUCCCCCUUUAGCAAAAAAUAUUAAUCUACUAUUGAAAUUUGUAAAAUAUCACAAGUAAAUUAAGAAGGUCAGUCAAGGUUUGUAAUUGAUCAUUUUGAGUUUAGGAAUGUCAUUGGAGGGAGCUUAAAGCUAAGGUGGCCAAAAUUUGUGAACUAAACUCUACGCCUUAAGCAAUUAACGUAGUGAAUUAUUUUUUUGUAAUGAAUAAAUAUUACCUAUGCAUGCUUUGGGAAUGUUAAAAGACAUUGUAAUGGUUAGGUUGGGAAAAAUGAAGAUUUUUAAUGAGAAAAUCAGUACAAUGUGAUCAAAUAGUCAAUGUGCGAAAAUGUAAAAGAGGUUUAGAAGUGCAAUGAUCAAACACUGUCGAAGGCAAAUUGGAGGAGAAACCGAAGGCCGCAAGUGCGUAGUUAAGGGUAUUGGUGAUGACAUAAAUGUCUUCUCUCUGCAUUUUAUGUCGUUCGGUGUUGGUCGUUGGGUGGUGAGUUCAAAUUCAAUACCGACUCACUGACAUGUACGGCGCUUUGGAAACUACUUCACUUCAUUUCAUUAUAUAUAGAGACUAGACUGCCAAAUUCUGCACCCUUUUCAACGGCCCGUGUAGGACUGUCUCUGCCCUUCCUUCUACAAGACUCAAGCUGCCAGCCGGACCCGGACGUACAUUGCUCUUCGAUGGUCUCCCAAUAAUUUAAACAAAAACUAGCCUACAAUUGUUGAAUUUGUUUUCCCUGUUUUCUUGCUUACUCCAAAUCAAGAGUGAUAUUGUUUGUAUAUGCAAAACUAAUUUACCACACGUAGUCUUAGACUCAAAUCCCAAACAAAAUCACACACAAUGUUAACUCGAUAGUAUGUGAUUUUGUUUAGAAUUUAUAUCUAAAAUCCGUGUCUGACUUUGUUUCAGGUUUACGUCAAAAGUUAUAUAUUGACAAUGUGUGUGGUUUUAUUUAGGGUUUAGGUGUAGAAUUGUACAAUGAACCAAACAAAGUCCCACCAUUUCGGAUUAGCUUGAUUCAAGGCUCAAAUUAGUAGCAUGACCAAACGAAACUAAUCUAGAUAGUAGCAUGACCAAACGAAACUAAUCUAGAUAGCGACCUAUUUAUUCUACUUGUUGGAAAUUUUGAGUAGAAAUUCAUUGUUCCACAUUGAUCACUACCAAAAGAUUCCAUCACUUUAUAAGGCUUUGUCCCUUAAAGAAAUUAAUUGGAGUGAUGGAUCAUGGAGAAUAAAAUUGGGCUUAACCUGGGGGUUGGACUUUGGGGUGUAUCAAAAGAUGGGCCUUGGGGCUUUCGGGCUCUAAUAAUUAAAUUCUUUAAUUAAUUAUUUUUGGAUUUAAUUAAUUAAUUAUUUUUUAUGUCAACCGUCAUCUUUUCAGAUGAAGUCUAAAGUGAUGAAAGAACGCUAGCGAGCAAAGCACCCAUCUGAGAAGAUGUCUCCCAACAAACGCAUCUUAUACUCAUACCUAUUGCGAACAAGCAUAAACUUAUUUUAUAUAUAUAUAUAUAUAUAUAUAUCCAUCUGCAUGGUAUUUAAAACACAAAAAUAAAAUUCUUCUUCUACAAUUCCAAACAUUCUUACUAAGAGAAUCACAAAAAAUAUUUGCCAGAAGUCAAGUUUUCUGGUGCUGGAAUUCUAACUUAGAUCGUUGAAUCCUGGUGAAGCAGACGUUCGUAGAACUACAAGCAUUGGGUAGGGACAAAAUUUCUGUUUCAAGGACAUUGUGGUACGCAAGCCUCGAUCUUCAAUUUGUCUGUUUAAUAUUAUUAAUUCGCAUUUAUAAUUUAUUAGCAUAUAUAUUUAUCAUUGAUUGUUGAUAUUUAUCCAACAAUCCUAUUGUAUGUUAUGUCUUUGAUAAGUACUUUUUAGAUGGGAAUGGAGAAAAAAGCCUUUGUGCCUUCAAAUAAGGGGCAUAUAUAGCAUGUAUUUCUUGAAGCUAGGUUCCAGAUAGCCAACCACAAUAAGACAAUUGCAUGGCUACAAGAAAAAAAAAAGACAUUGAAUAUCGUGACUUCGAUCAAUUCACCGUUUACCCGAUCGUAUCUAAACCAUCUUAGUUUAGUUCGUUUGAUGGUAAAGAUCUGAAAUAUAUUAGUAAAUAUUAGUGUAGGUCUGAUUUGUUUGUCAUCAUCCGGACUUUCUAGUAGCCAUUAGUAGAAAUUAAUCUGUCUUGAUCUGUUUGUAGUUGGUCCCUAUUAAUUUGUAUUUUACAAUAAACUCAUUGAAGUACUAAUCAAAAUUCAAGAAUCUGUUGCCUUGGUAUGUAUUUUCUUCUGGUACUUUAGAUUCCACGUAGCUCAUUGAACUUUUCAACCCUAUGCGGAUUUUGUUUUUCAUUUGUAUCAAUAUCGAUCUUAACUAUUGGAACAAAAUGGUAUUGUUGAUCAAUUAGCGGAUUGGAGUUUUAAUAUGGAUCUCGUUCGCUUUGUUUUCUAUGGCACUCGUCACUUGUGCAUGCUUGAAUCGAGUUAACUCUUAUGGAUCAUUAUUUUGGUGUUUGUAAAGUGUGGUAUAUUUAUACCCCCAAUUUUACCAAACAACAAAAAUAUCCUAACUUGUUGGUUUCUCUUGACACUAUUAUAUAAAAUUCACUCUUUUGCACAAACAUAAAAUCUGAUAUGGACAGAAAAAAUUUUGAUUCUCAAAAAAUAAAGCGGGGAGUUCUACGAAGAUUUAUAAAUUUGUAUUAUGCAUUCCAUCUCAUUGACAAACAACAACAAGAAGAGACUUAAAACUCUGAAAAGCUAGCAUAUAUUAUACAUAUGGGUGAAAAUGGGGGUGGCUUGGCUCCUUGAUCAAAUGCAAUAUGUAUCUUGCAAGAAAUAAUCUCUUUGUAGCUUUCAAGUACAGCCCAAACCAAACGUCAUUGUUUAGACAACCAUAUAGUUGAACUAAUACUAGUGCUUUUUGAAUGUUGGGUACUUCUCUAAUUAAAGAAUGAUUAAUAUUCCUCCUCAUGGACCAUACUUAUAUGGCAUUUCAAAGUUCAUACCCAUGGAUUUGGAGUUUUCCUCAAUCUAGCCCUGUGAAUUCUGCUAGAAUCCAAUGCUAUGAACAAAGUUAGAAGCGUGGCUACAAUAUUAUGUGGCUUUAAUUAACUGCACUGGAAUAUUAAUAGGAUAGAUGAACGGUGAUGACAAAUGAUUUAUUUCUUUAAAUCUCACCCAUUCAUAUUUACGUUGAAAUAACGUAGUACCUUAGAUUUUCCACAAAUUAGCAAAGUUAAGACAGACCUUAAAUACAUAGAGAAUCAAGGACGGUGAGUCAGCCCUGGUAUUCCUGAAUCCUGGUACAGAAAAGCUUAUGGAGCUCCAUUCCUGCAGCCUCCUCACAAUCAAUGAGAAUUUCCGCUGUUCCUUUCUUGUUCAUUAAAUAUGUUUGGAAGGUUCGUCAUCAGAGUCGUGGAAUUUUAAAAUAAUAACAACUAGGUUGCAUGCAUGAUUGGUAAUAAUUAGAACACGCUAUAUCCACGCGGUGUGGAAACGGUGAUAGCUAGGGUUUUUUGUGAUGAGCUGCCUGCGAAUGAUUACGGAUGACUUUUGUACAAGCUGGUCUCUCAGUUCACACACAGUUCAACGAUUAACGAAUUAAAAAAACUAUAUAUUACUGGAUUUUGAAAAUUAAAAGGAAUAUUUAUUAUUCUGCGGUGCACCGUGAUGGCAUCAACAUGGCUUCCGGGGGUUCUCAUUUAAAGAAGCAUAAUGUUACAGUUGGUUAGUUAAUUUUAUAAAGAACAUGGGGUAGUUAACAAGUUAAAGGACUCUGUGGUUACAAAAUUAGUCUACAUUACCAAAUGUAGGUAGUUGAUUGGAUGACAAUGAAGAUCCAAAUUGAGUUCACAUUCGGCCACCUUAUAUUCUCAAAUACUUUGCCCUUCAUCUCCAAACAUGAAUCCCCUAGCUAGCAUUGAAUACCAACAAAUUGAUGAUCCAAUCAUUCGGAAGUAUAGAUUAAAAAACCGAUGGAAUUAACAUGUUCUUAUGUACAUGAUAUGAUUAGAGUGUCGGAGUUUAACUAAACUUCACCACUCUAAUCAUGCAAUAUAACUGUGAAUAAUUCUCAACAUGGAAAAGAAAAAAAAGUUAUGUGGGAUGGCCAUACCUACUAACUGGCACAUGUAUUUGUGCUAGUUCAAAUCAAGUCAAUUUAUAUAGUAGCGCUUACAAAUUAUUAAGUUAAUACGAAACUAACUACUUGUUUAGGCAUUUCCAUAAUUUAACCUCAUAAUCCAAAUCGUUCAUUUUUAGGCCAUUCAUCCUUGCUAAUAUUAGUACUUGAAAUUUCUUGGCAAAACUUUCAUCUACUAAAUCUUAUUUCUCACAUGGCGAACAUUAUGAUUUUUUGUAGGUCAAUUAAUUUAGUUUAUUCAUUGCGAUUAUAAUUGAACUAAAUCUCUGUCCUUAAAUCUAUGCAGAAUGUAUAUAUGCACCACGGCAUUGAUUUUUCCAAUGUCUGUUUACGUAUGUAUUGAAUAAUGUUAUUAUGAUAAGUCAAUUGGCUUAUACAAUAUGCCAAAAUAAUUCUCGUGCUUCUUCAAUUAUGCUAAAUUAUUUGGUUAAAAGAGGAGUUUGGAUUGAUCACGAACUUAGGCAUAUAUUGAUUAUAUUAAUAUCUGCAGGUGUAUAAAGUGCAUGCAGACGGUACUCACUCGUUUUCUUUUUGGUCAGCAAGCAUGGCUUUCCAACUAGACAACAAGUAAGCUUUGUGAAAAUCUCCAUGGCACUCCCUAGCUAGUUAGUUCAUUACUUUAUACUUGGAUUGGGUUGUGUAAACCCUAAAUUUGAAAUAUAACUAGUUGCACAUCGUUAUCCAUGAGUGGGGCACGAGUUAUAUAUAUGCGGGACCUAGCUAGGGCAACAAAAAGGUACUUAUUAGGAACUAAUGCAACAUUAGGCAAUUUAAUCAUAUUUUCAACAAAAAAAGGCAUUCUUAAUUAAUUGUAAACUCUUGUUGGUUACGUUAUAAAAAAGAAUAGUAUUGCCUUUUCCAUAAUUUUGUUCACACGUGCAUCACGCAAAUGAAAUGUAGUAGUGAACCAGUAAUUGGUGUGUGUGCAACACGCAAAUGAAAUUAAAGAAGUUUUUGACAUACUUUUUACAUUCGGCAAGGUCAUCACUAACUUCAUUGAUAUUUUUUCAAUUAAAAGAGUCAUUUAUUAUUUUGUGUAAAGUUUUACCACAAAAUAUCGUGCUAAUAUUAGUUGUGAACCUCUAAAAUAUAAACCAAAUACUAUUUUGUUAUAUUUACAAUGUGAUACUCUAUUCUCCUUCUCUUUUAGUGUUGAAUAUUAGACUUUUACAAACAUAAACAAGUACGUAACACAUGUAUUUAGUGCUCAAACUUUGCAAUCUGAUCAUAAAAUAUAGCCGGUUAAAACCCUAUUGGACUCUAAACUUAUCACAUAAAGGUUUAAGUUUAGUGGAAAUUGAAAUCAGUUAAAGUUAAUAUUUGAACAAAUCUUUUUUCCUUUAAAGUAGGACAAUAAGGUCGAACACUAACAGUGGAUAUCCCACGUUGGCAUGUAGUGGACGUGCAGUUUUUGCCAAACUGUUUAUAUGAUAUGAAGAAAUGGUUGUGGUUUCACAUCUAUGAAAUAGUUUAGUCCUUGCUCAAGAGGUACACGUUCUUUUUCUGUAACUAGCCAUAUUGUAGUGAGAACAUAAGAUCCCCAUUGAGUAGAAGACUUCUCCUCGAUCAUUCACUUCAUCAGGUUUGUUUUAAUUCAUACUAUGUACUUCACUUGUUUCAUGUGUUGUAGGUAGCUAACCUUUAGAGUUCCAACAGUUAAAGCUAAAACAUAUAAAUCAAGUUCUUUUGUAACUCUAUAAAAUUAAGUCGACAGGUUUGUUUUGUUUUGUCUGUUUAUUUUUUGGUUUAAGCACUCAAAUAUAAACGAUAAGGUUAAAAGUAUGAUAUGGUCAUCGAGAAGUAACACGGAGAUGUGCGGUAUACUUGGCUUAACCAUCCCCCAUCUUCGUUGGUGCAUAUUUUAAAUAAGGAUGGCCUCCCAUGUCCUCCGUAAUUGUAGUUUGGUGGUGAAGGGGGUGACGCUUGGCACUUGGUGCUGCGUCUUUAGCCUUUGCUCCCCUCUUCACUGCUUUUUGUUUGUUUCCUCUAGUUGUUGCCUCCUGGUAGGCUUCCCUGUGUUUUUGGCUCCGGCCCUAGUUAUGAAUUCAUUUAGUUUUUCAAAAAAAAAAAAAAACACAUUUGAGUCCCCACAAUAUAAAGUGAUGCACGUGGCAAUCUCACAGUUUUUUUUUUUUUAAUUCGAAUGAAACAUAAUUCCCUAAUCAAUUAACAAGAUUAUUGUAAUAGUACUUUCGAGUAAUUCUCAAAAGGGGUAUGUUAUCCACACACCUAUUUUUACUUCUCACACACCCUUGUUAAUUUUUAUCCGUUGAUCUUCUUCAAUUUAUCCGAUCCGACGACCGAAAACCAAAAAUGUGUGGGAGAAAUAAAAAAGGGUGUGUGGAUAUCACAUCCCUUCUCAAAAUUUCAAAUGUUAAUUUUUUUUUAAUAAAAAGGGAUCGGUUGGUAACUUCGUGAUAAAUGUGAACAAUACUAUGAGUGUUUCAUUAAGAUUUUUUUUUUGUUUUUGGGGUUCUUUUAGGUAAAAUUACACCUAAGGUGUACUUUUAAACUUUAAUAUUGAAUUGAGUCAAUGGUUUUUAAUUAUUUCAAGAGAGACAAAUUUUAAUGUACUUGUGUUAAGUGACCAAAUAGCCCCUCUUCUGUUUGAAAGCUACUGACGGCAAGAAGUUAAUCUUUCAUUCCAUUUUUUUCCGUCUCCGUUCAAUUUCAUUCCGAUUUCUUUUCUUUUUAUUUUUUUAAUUUGCUUCAACAAUUUGGGUUCAUAUUUGGUUUCGCUCCGUCUCCGGUUCUCACCAAUCCCACAGAUCCCAAAAAUUCGAAGCCCAAAUCUCCAAAAUCUUCAGCCCCCGAAGCUGCGGAUUGCUGAGACAGUGUUGUUUGCAGUUCCCAAAUUGGGCAGACGCAAGGCUGACGAUGCAGGCUGCGGUGCGAAGAACAGUGUGGCAUCGAGCUUGAGGUGCGGUUCAUAGGGCCUUGUAUUGUUAAAGUUGCAGUGGACUGGAGCUUGGUCCUUCGCGAGUUGCAGAAGGAGUACAGGUUCUGGGUUUUUGCAAGAUACUUUUGAGUUAUUGGUGAAGGGACUGGUAAUGCUGCCAUGCAAUGUUCUCAAACCCAUGGGAAUUAAUCUUAAAGAUAAACGAGUUGAAGUGGAGAAGAUAAUUGGAAGGGGUAGUGGAUUUGUUGUUGUUCAAAUUCAAUUCAUUCCUUGCGUAAAACGAGUUUUAGAGCUGUAAUUGCUACACAUCUAUUUCCGUGCAGCACUUCUUUUCUAAUUUUAGUCAUAUAACAAAGUCUACAAUAGGGAUGGGCAAUGGUUAUGCGGACGGGUAACCGCGAUUAUUUUACCCAUAACUGUUUAUGUUCAUACCCGUAUAACCGUUUACCCGUGGGGUAAUUACAUAAAUGGUUAUACUUAUAACCAUAACCGUUUAUAAACGGUUAUCCAUACCCAUAACCGUGUACCCAUUUACCCAUAACCAUUACCCAUUUAACCAUAACCAUAAUCAUUUACCCGUUUACCCAUUUUUCGCCCGUUUAUCCUUUUUUUACCCAUUUACCAUUUUUUUUCUCCCGUCUACAUUAUUUUUUUAACGAUAGUUAAUCAAAAAAUGAAAAGCGGAACACUAUUCUCUAUUCAAAUCAAGAAGCUUUCUAUCAAUAACAACACUUUGACAAUGUGGAUACAAUUACAAAUCACAACACUUAUACACAUUUGAAGUUGAUUCAUUGCCUGAUAGAACAAGCAUUACAAGUUGAAAUUCACUUGGCGAAAGCGCUAUUGGCAGAAGCGCUUAUGACACAAGCAGUCCCGAAUUAGCAAUCUCUCCCGAGAGUAUAUUCCGUGCUCGCUCAUCAUGUUGUUCAAUCGUUUUAUGUCCAUCACCUGAAAGAAAUUGAAUUAAGACCAUGUUUGGCCGGAAACUUAAAAUUGCUUAUCUGUAUAGAAGUACUUAUGUGCUUCAAAGCACUUCCAACUGCUUUUCCAAGAAGCAUUUGGAAGUGUUCGCUGCUGAGGUGGCUGAUAAGGAUAACGAGGCGAAAUGCCGGGCGAACGGCGACGUUGCUCAGAGGAGGCGGGGGAGGAGCCGGCACUCAUUGGCUUCGGCCGACUUCAGCUACGAGCCGUCGAGCUACGCCAGGAAUUUCGAGGACGACGUGAACCGAGCUGACGAGAUUAUCUCUCUCAGAAGGUUCAGGGGGUUGCUGGCGCAGCCGAAGCAAAGCUUAACGACGGCGCCUCCGCCUACCAAGUGUUCGCCGUUGCGUCCGGAGAUUGCUGCGUUUAGCUAAAGAUUAAUUAUGUUUUGAUAAUGCAAUUACAAGUGUGUCGUCAUCUGCUAAGGUUCUGCAACUGAUAUGGCGGAUGAGAUUUUUCGAUUGAAUUCGAGGCUCUGUAGAGAGAGAGAUCGGGAGAGCGACGGAGAAAGAGAGUGACGAAGUCGAAAGGCGGAGAAAGAGAGUGACGAAGUCGAAACUCUGAGGGUUUUUAAUUUUUUUUUUACAUAUAUUAAAUUAAAUGGGUAAAUGGAUACCCGUUAUAACCAUGAAUAUUAACCAUAACCGAUGGAUAUCCGUUAUAACCGCGGAUAAUACCCAUAACCGUCCAUUUAAAUUUCAUGGAUAAACGGUCAUACCUAUAACCGUUUAUUUGUUUAAACGGUUACCCAUAACCAUAACCAUCAACUUUAAAUGGACGGGUAACCGCGGUUACCCAUACCCAUGGGUAUUUUGCCCAUCCCUAGUCUACAAAGAUGUGAUUUAAAUCUUUACUAGUUAUUAUGUGGUUGAUUUUCAUUUGAUAGUUAUUAGUCUUUAUUUCAACUUGAAUUUUAAUAUGGUGAUCAUGAAUUUCUUUUUCAAUUGGGUUGUAUUGAUGACAUAAUGUAAUUAGUUUGCAAAUGAUUUGAAACCAAACUGCAACCAAAUGGUUUGGUUCCAUAUUGUUUCAAGCUUCAAACCGCAUCAAACCGAAUCGUAAAAAAAUUCGGUUUCGGUUUUAGUUUCACCCCAAACACACCGAACCAAUCCAUGCCCACCCCUAUACUCGAGGAUGGGUUGAAUUGAUUCUGCUAAAAUGGUAAGAUGAGUUGAAAUGAUUCUGCUAAAAUGGUCAAUGACUAAUUGAACUGAUUAUGCAAAAAUGGUCGAGAACGGGUUAAACUAAUUCUCUAAAAAUGGUUGAUGGCUAAUUGAACUGAUUCUACAAAAGUUGUUGAAGACGGGUUGAAAACUUUUUCUGCAAAAAUAAUCAAGAACGGGUUUAACUGAUUCUGAAAAUAUUGUUGAAGGUGAGUUGAACUGAUUCUGCAAAAAAUAUCGAUAACUGAUUAAAUUGAUUCGGCAAAAGUGGGUAAGGAUUGAUUGAACUGAUUAUGCAAAAAUAGUCGAAGACGGGUUGAACUGAUUAUGCAAAAAUGGUCGAAGACGGGUUGAACUAAUUCUGCAAAAAUUGUUGAGGACAGGUUGAACUGAUUAUAGUAAUAAAGGAUACAAAUUGAUUCUACAUAUAGUUUCAAAACUAAUUCUGCAGAAAUAGUCGAGGAUGGGUUAAGCUUAGUUUCAUAACACAUAGUAAUUUGGGUUAAUCUUAGUUUACAACCCUGAAGUUUCUUAGUUUUUAACAUUUGGUACAUGAAGUUUUUUUAGUCCCAAUCUGGUACCUAAAGUUAUAAUUCUGGAACAUUUUCAUACAUCCGUUAAGUUUUCCAUUAGAACUUUUGUUAACUGAUGAUGUGGCACCCACGUGGACAAUAACUGGGCGCCAUGUGUCAAUAUGGGCCUACUUGAAUAUUAAAAUUUUUUAAAAAGAAAUUAAAAAUACAAAAAAAAAAAAAAAAACCCCAUCUGUCUCCUACCUCAUCCCCCCACCCUCUCCAUCCUUUCUCUCUUCUGCAACCCGCACCCCUUCCCUCCCUUCUCUCUUCUGCAACCUGCACCACCCUCCCUUCUCUCAGCUGUUAAUAGAACCCUUCCCUCCCUAAGGCUUUAGGGAUGGAAGGGUUAUAUUAGUUGCCCUAAAGCCCUAGGGGUAUUGCUAGUAUUUUAAAACAUUGUUUCCAUGUUUUUGGGUUGAGCUUUUGUUAUUUUUAUGUUUUUGUCUCUCAUUGACAUGUUUAAAAGCUAUUGGAGUUUCUUGAAAUAUAGUUAAAAAUUUUGUCUCUAUAUAUAAAGCUCCAUUUGUUUUACCUUUUUUACUAGCAUUUCAACUAGAAAAUAGAAAGUAAAUAUGAAAAAACAUUAAAGGGAAAAUAACCAAGGUAGUCUCAGGAUUAUCAUUCGGGAAUUUGACAAGUCAAACUACACACACAAAUUUUAUUGUGGUUAGAGGUGGAUGGACUAUGAGACUAAGGUAGUCUCAGGAUCAUUCGGGGUUCGAAAAAUAUACACGUGAAGGUCUUUCGAGGUAUUUGAUGUAAUGGCUGCUAGCUAUAUCUCGACCAGUUGCGUCGACAACACUAUCACUUAUCAGAUUGCUUCGACAUAUGUUGAUAUCUGUUGACAUGUGUGAUGACGUGUGCGAUACAUGAUUUGAUUGACGAUAACAAGUUCACCAAGUGUUCGACGAAAUAACUUAAUGAAUAGCAUGAUUUUUUUUUGCGUGCUUCGCACUGUUUCUAUCUAAAAACAUGUUUUUAACACCGAAGACCCCACAAGAUUCGAAUCCUGAAUUUGUCACUGAUUGAGGUGUUGGUUUUUAGAGCCAAGUGUUAUGAAGAACACUUUUCAUUAUUUCAAUAGGUAAGUCUAAAUGAAGUAAUUGCUUGUGUUAUGGAUGAGUAACAAGUCCUGAAAUUAAUAUGUAGUUUGGAAGCAAAUAAGAAAUAUUGCUCUUUAUUGUAUGGCCCUCAUGGAAACUUCUAAUGAGAAAUCAACUUAAUUAAUAUUAGAAUUCAUUUCAUUUGAAUGGAAUAAUUUUAUUACCAAGUUUAUUUGACCCAAUUAAAUUUCAUGAUAUGUCUGUAUGUAUAUAUAUUUAUAUUUUGUAUUACAAAGUUCAUACAUGGAUUGGUGACUUGUAGAUGUUGCAUCAUGACAUGUACUAGUACUAUCUUAGAACGCAAUUUUCCACUUUCUCGAUUUUAUUUUUAUUAUAUUCAUGUAAAGUGGAGGAAGCAACUGAUUAUUAAUAAGGAAUUUUAACGAAAACCUUUCAGUAUUGUUCACUUUAACGAAAAAUCACAUUUUUACACUAAAAAGUCAAUCCUAGUACUAUUCACUUGACCCUUUAUUUUGUCCUUAUCGUUAAAGCUCAAAUUUUUAAAGUUAUUUCAUUAGUUUUCUUUAAGAAGAUUUUAACAAAAAACUCUCGAUACUGUUCACCUUAACGAAAAAUGUCAACUUUUUAAUAUAGACUUUUCAAAUCCUCCUAUAGACCUCAUUGUUCAGUCGUAUUUAUACAGAAGUCAGACACGCGAAACAUGUGUAGCCAGUUACUUUACAUGUGAGCAAACGUUGACUGCAAUACUACGAAUGAACUUGGAAUUUUAUCUAAAACCAAUUGAUAAUAAAAAGUAAUCCAAGUGAUGGCGAGAGUUUAUGCGUUAAUGAUGUAGAAUUAGGCUUAUAUCAAAGGAUUGACUAUUGACUUUGAGUCCCUUCAAUUGUAAGUGGGAAAAAAAAUGAUAUUGAAGAACAUAAUCCACGCAUAUUGAUUAGAAAAUCUUGUCUUUUUCAUAGAAUUUCGAUUUCCAUGGUGACAAAAUCGAUCAUAUAAAAAAAAGAUAAAAAAAAAAGAGAGAAAGAAAUGAUGACAUAAUGGUAACUACAAGCGGUGGCAAAUCCAGUAUGGGUUUUUAUAUUAACACCCUACAAAAUGUUGAAUGCACCUCACAUUAAAAUUUAAUAUUAAAUAACUUAUUUAUACCACAUGCAAUGACAAUUUUGACCUUAUUAGGUUUUAAAAAAAAUAAAGAUUUAUAAAUACACCCUAAAUCACUUUUAGCGUAUUAUUUAUCUUCUCAACUAUCCAACAUGUUGUUAAGAAAAAUUGUUUUUGACGAAUGGAACACGAAAUCGAUGUUCAGGAGCUUCACAUGAGGUAAGACUUCAUAGUUUUCAUUGUUUUAGUGAUUUCGAUGACAUCGAUAAUUAUUUAAUCUUGCGUUUGUUGCAUUAUUUAAACUUCUAUAUUCAUAUUCAUCUUUUAAUGUUCAUAUGGUUAGAUUCAAUCCCUGAAAAUUAAAAAUGAGUGUUAUAAGAUUUGAGAAAUGUGGGGUGUAUGUACAAAAUAUAAGAUGUAUAUUGAGAAUGUGGGGUGUGGGAGUAUUAUGGGAAAAUAAGUGGGGUGUAUUAAGAUAAGACUUUAAGUGAAAAAGAAAAGGUGGGGUGUAUUAAGUUUGUGGGGUUUAUUCAACAAUUUGUGAAGUGUUAAUAUAAUUAGCCAUGCAGUAUUUGAAUUUAGGUGGUCUGUUAAAAUUCAAGUUUUUUAUUUAUUAUAUAUAUAUAUAUAUCUACUAAUUAAUAAAACUUUCUUUGUCAAUCAAAAGAUGAUGAAACGAUAAAUUAGUCUUCUAUCACAUAAAAAAAAUGAUGGGCAAUAAUAUAAUUUCACAAGUUCAAAUUUUACUUUUUUUAUUGAAGUCUCACCUACAGGUGAUGUUAAAAUAUCUCAAAUAUUAAAAAAAAAAGGAAAACAAAAACCUCCCACUCCCCCUCACAUUCUCUCUCUCUCUCCCUCUCUCCUUCUCAUUUUCUAAAUAUCUCCAAUAUCACAUAAAAAAAUGAUGGGCAAUAAUGUAAUUUCAUGGGUUCAAAAUUUUAUUUUGAUUGAAGCCUCACCUACGUGAUGUUAAAAUAUCUUCAAUAUUAAAAAAAAAGGAAAAAAAAACCUCCCACUCCCCCCAUGUUCUCUCUCUCUCUCCCUCUCUCCUUCUCAUUUUCUAAAAAAAUAUGUUCAUACACACAAACUGUGUAGGCAAAUGCUAGUAUAUAUAUAAAUAAAGCGCGAAGCAUGCAAAAAAAAAAAUCAGUUUAUUUAUUGAGGCAUUUCGUCGAACACUUAAUCAGUGAUAUCAAGAGAGUUUGUCCGAUGUUGUCCACUCAACCCAUUGAGAUAUGUCUGACAUGUAUUACAUCAAACACUUAAUAAAUACAAUGAGACCCGUAGAAACAUUCGAAAAGUCCUUUAAAAAUCUUCACAUGUAUAUUUUCAAACUUUAGUGGUUCUGGGACCAUCUAGAUCCCAGUGUGCAUCCGGUUCUAACUACAAGUGGUUUAGAACGAAUUCUUUAGGAUUGUUAUCCAUAUAUGAGAGAAAAAAAUAAGACCAAAAAAAUAGGGAAAAAUGGUAAUGUGAUACUUUUAAAGUGUCAACUUUGAGGCAGUUUCCAAAUUUUGUUUGCUCUGAUUUCUUUGAGCAGAUGGCAUACAUGCAUGCAGUAAUAUCAUCCCGUGACAGUUUGCUUUUUUGUGAAAUGGUUUUGGAAUGGUUUUUUCUGCAUGUUAUUUCGAAUGUAUUUAUAUCUGAAAAAAAAAACACCAAAUUUGUGGCAAGAAAUGAUUGGAACAUGCAAAGUUUCUGUGUAUCACUCUAGCAAAAAUGGUGAAACUUUUAAAAUCCUUAAAACUUUCAUCUGUAAGAAAACCAAAGACACAUAUAUAGAAAGUGAGGUAAAAUUAUAAAAACUAAACACUUAAAAGAGAAUGAAAGUAACCACGCUUUCCUUAAUAUUCUCCACAUUCCAACGUUCACAAACAUUUACGUUACAGUUACUCGAAGGAGACGAAACCGCCGAUGUCUUUUCUUCUCAAACGAUUCUCUGUUUCGAUGCAAUUAGCAACGAGUAUUGUGCUUUCCACUUUUUCUCUACUCUCUGCUUGCACUUACCAAACUAAAGGAAUCGUCACUUGCCCGAAGGAGGAUGGAUAGGCAAAGGGGCAAAUGGUUAGCAAGCAUGGAUUACCAUCCUUCAUCGAGUAAGUGCCGAUUAAUUUGGUAAGUGCAAGUAGCGGGUGGAGAAAAAGUAGAAAGCACAACACUUGUUGCUAUCUGCAUCGAAAGCGUAACUACAACAUUAGCUAGAAUGUGAAGAAAAUUAAAGGAAGCAUAGUUGUUUUCACUCUCUUUUAAUUGUUCUUGUUUUUACAAUUUUACUCGCUUUUUAUAUCUGGUUAUUUGCCUUUCUCACUUUAAUAUACAGAUAGAAGGGAAAUGCUAAAAAGACUCUUUCAAAAGUAAGACUUUUUAUGAACUCUUCGUCAUCUUAUGUUUUUUGCAUAAUAUCACGUCAACAUUGUAUCAUGACAUAAAGUGACGAAAAGUCUAAUGGAGAGUUUUACAUUAAGAGAGUCUCGUUAGCAUUUCUUAAACGUAUAAAAACAAAUGAGAUUAAAAGAUGAAUGCCAAACCUGCAGUCUUACCUGCAAAUGCUAAUGCUGGUGCCCACCACCAAAAAUCUAAAACAAAAGAAGAAAGAAAAUACAGUAAUUUAAUUAUAAUUCUGCAAUCAAGAAAUAAAAAAAUGAUCCAUGAUAUUUAAUAGUUUUGUUUAAGAAUAAUUAAAAAUUGAAGGGAAAAAAAAAGUCUGUCUCACUUAUUGUACCUGCCUAGUACGCCUAAUUGUACCUCCCAACGUUCUCUCAUCGUCACCUUUCCGUUUCUUAACAUUUUACUAUGACAGUCUCUCUCUCCUCCGCUCUUUCUUUUAUUCUUUCUCUCUCUGGCCUUUAUAUAUUCCCUUCCCCUCCUCACACCCCUCACACCCACUACUCCAAUUCUCUCUCUCUAAAAAACUCUUCAAUUCUCUCUCUUCAUCUCCUUACGCCGUCCGUACAUCACCAUGAAGCAGCUGAUCCGCCGGCUCUCCCGCGUCGCCGACUCAUCGCAGUACUGCCUCCUGCGCUCCCCGGCCGACGCCUCCGCCCCCCCGCGCAGAAACGAGUCCUUCCGUGUAAAGCUCCGGCGCCGGAGAUCCUCCGCUGGCGAGCAGGUGGCCCCCGAGGGCCACGUCCCGGUCUACGUCGGCGACGAGAUGGAGCGGUUCGUGGUCAGUGCCGAGCUCCUGAACCACCCGGUCUUCGUCGAGCUCCUCAACAAGUCGGCACAGGAGUACGGCUACGAGCAGAAGGGAGUCCUCCGGAUCCCAUGCCACGUGAUCGUCUUCGAGCGCGUGCUCGAGGCGCUCCGCCUCGGACAGGCCCCGUCGUGCGACCUGCACGACCUCCUCAACUCGAACUCCGUCGACCUGAGAUCCUUGUAGAUUUGGUAAUUCAGGGAAAUGUUUUUGGCCUUUUAUGUAAAUACAUCGAUUAAAACGAAGCGACGCAAAGCGAUACGUUUUUUAUUUUAUUUUUUGUGGGGUGGGGUGUUGUUGUAAAGGGAAGAAACACUGGUGAAAUGCUAGAAUUUACAGUCGUAGCAGAACGGAAAAUAUUUCUACUUUUUUGCCCAAAUUCUGUGUUCUGUUUCUUCUUGUUUCCCAAGAAAAUAUGGGAUGGAAAAUGGUAAGGAAAAGAAAUCAUGUAGCUCUACAGUUGCGAUUCCGCAUACCUGGGCUUAAAUUGGCCGUUUCUUCCUCUGCACUGAAGUUCGAAUCUUUCAUGUGUAUAAAUUUAGUGUAGAUUAUUGCUAGUAUUAAAAUUUGGAUUCGUGGAAAAUUGGAUGAAGAAAUUAUUCAUUUGUUUUGGGGUUAGUGAAUAGUGAGUUGUAUUUCCAGACAGUGUUUUGCAUUUUCUGGGAGUCCAAACGGAACCCGGACACGAAGUUGGGAACAAAUCACGGAACUGGGACUGUGUUAAUGUCGGGGGUUGUAACGUCCCAAACGGAUCUGGAAAAAGUUUUGAUGCCAUACGAUACGACCGAGUUGGAAAUGGUGUCUUUUCCGUAAUUUCGUGUUCUUUGGUGGCUGUUUGACUUGAGGGAUAACUUUGUCUGUCUGGAUUUCUGGUGAAGGGUGUUUUUGGUCAAUUCGCGUGGGUUUCGGUUGAUUAUGAAGUUAUGACGGUGGUAGAUGAAGGGCUGAAGCACAAGCACCUUAGAAGAAAGUAGAGUGUCAUCCUUUUAGUUUAAUUUCAAAAAUGGUAUUUAAAAUCACUACAAAAGUAAGGUAAUUAAUCAAGUUAUAUAUGCGGUUUUGGUCCAAUAAUUCAUUGUUACGUUUAAGUUUUUUUAUCUUUUCAUAUGACUCUAAGUUAUUAGAACAGAAUGUCAUGUGUCAAUGAAUAUAUUUACUGAUCGUUGAUGUAUUAUUAGGUAAGUUACAAUUAGGUAAGUCAGACAGAGGUGAUACUCUGGGUUUUAAAGAUGUCAAUCAAAUUAGAGCUAGGGUCGGGUCGAGUUGAGGUAAUAUUGACUGUUGAUACAUUGUGGAUUUAAAAGGCUUCAGUUAAGUUAGUAGUAGGUUAGAUAGAGAUGAUAUUGAUCGUUGGUACCUUGUGAGUUUUAAAGGUGUCAAUCAUGUCAGUGAAAUCCAACAAGAAUGAUCUGAUUGUUGAUGUACACAUAAUUCAUAAUGCAUCAACAGACAAAAUUAACCCACGCAUCGUAAAAACUGACUAAAACAUCCUUCUACCAAGAAUGUGGGUGUAGUUACAACUUACAACCUUGCUUAAUACAUCAGUAAUAUUUUAGAGGGAACAAAAAAGAAAAACAGCAAAUUAUAUAUACCAACUAUGGCCGAACAUGCACAUAAUCCGGCAGUUAAUCUUACCUAAACUCAAUGAUUAAAAGAAACUGUCAAAACAAAUCUCAUUCAAGGCGCCAACGAUUUAGAGUCCAAAUUAUACAAGUCUAGGUACACAAAUCAAGGCAUACAUUGCAUGUCCACCUAAAGCAAUGACACCAUGAUUAAUUCCUUAAUACAUUUGCCACCUAAUAUGAAUAAGUAUUGAGUAUUGUUAUGAAGAUUAAAUUUGUAGACAAAAUUUUAAAAACUAAAUGAUAUGAAAGUUGACGAUUGAUUUAUUACUUAAGCGUUGAUAAAUGUACUUAUCUAUUGGUGACACAUCAUUAGUUUGUAAAUUUUAUCUACAAAUUUAGUCUUCAUGACAUUACAUUAAGUCUGCAUAGCAAUACUGCACAGUUCAGGAACUCACUGCUAAAAUUUCUAAAUGGUAAUUACGUACUAAUUAGACACUUAAUUAGUAACAUUAUUGAUUAGGUAGCUAGAGGGAUAGAGAGCUUAUAACUUGGUCUCAUAUUAGUUGAAAUGUAGAUUGAUUACCAUGCAAUCGAUACACAUCACUGAAACUUGUCAAAGAUGCUUUGGUGGCAUGCCUCUAACUUGUCAAAGAUUUCUAGGUAGGUGGGUUUUUGAUCGAUGUUUUCAAGCAAAUGUACCAAUAUUAUUACUUCAAAAUUUAUCUUGAGUAGGUGAUAUGCUUGUGUCACUUAUAUUUAUACGCUAGUAUAUAUCGUGGAUUUGAUUGAUUUAAUUUAAUUUUAACAUUUUGAUAAGAAACAAGUGUUAAUUAUUUGUUUUUUCCGUGUAAAAAACAAAAACCCUAAUUGGAGCACAAACAAGAACGGCAAAAUACAAAGUCUACCUAGCUACGUCUCUUUAAUACUAAGCUCUAAACAUUGACCAUAACAUUGAUCAUAACUAUAACACUAACAUCUUUAGGAACGACGGGGUAACGAGUUAGAUUUGUAAUAGGAUAAGGAUUCGAACCCGUUCAAUGUAAGUUUUGUUCGGCGUCGGUUUUCUGACUUUUGUAUAGUGUUUACGGUAUAUCAUUAAUGAGUUCUACGUCAAAUCUUGUUAGUUAGAGCUCGUGCAUUGCAUAAUGCAAAGACGAAAAACUUUCGUCCUUUUAGUAUGCAUGUUCUCCUAACUCUUGCUCCCAAAAGAUGGAAAAAUACAUAUAUGGAACAUAAGAUUUUAAAAAAUCUGCUUUAUAUGGAGCUAAAAAAUAGCUAAAAUCUAAUGGCAAGGAUUACACCAAAUGCUAGGGGCAUUACUGAAAUGAGGUAGUUUGUGUCCUAACCUCAAAUCUAAAUGCAUUCUGCCGGGCCAAAUUAAACAUAGUGCCUUGUUUGAAAGUGCUUCUAAAAUGGUUGAAAACGUUUUUGGUUAAAACAUUUUCGAAACCAAUCAUUGGUAAAAAUGCAAGUGAAUCCUUAAAAUAAUUAAAGUGCUUCAUGCCACCAGUUAUGUGCUUCUUGUAGGAAACACUUAAUUAAAUGAUUUUAGAACUUUAAAAUAUUUUCGCUAAAAACGGUUUCAAUCGUUUUAAAUGCAGCCCUUAACUUAUAUGUGUUUGGUAUUCCUAAUUAAUUAAUACAUAAAAAUCAAGGAUUGGUGCAGUCAAUCUGUCUUUAUAAUCCAUGAUAUAUUUUUGAAAGUGCAAUUAACAAACAUGACCUUACUUUAUAUAACAGAUUUGUAUAUAUCAAUUUCACGGCCAAAAAAUAAAAAUAAAAAUAAAAAGAGAGGAUUAUUUUUUGGGGAGGCCCAUUUGCCCAUGAAUAUGAUAUAUACAAAUCUGAUAUUCCGAUGACUAUGUAAUUUGUAAUGAUAUAUGAGUAGGUUAAGGUGGUCUCAAACAAGAAAUCAUGGAAAAUGGUGGCAGAAUAUAUUGGGUUGAAGACCCCACAAAAAAAUUAUUUCAAUUUUGAACAUUACUUUAUAAAAAUAAAAAUAAAAACGAUAAUACGGAGAUCAAAUUUUUAAACCAAAAUUUGUAAAAAAAAUGAUGUGGUUGUUGAUAAUUAGAUUAACGUGCUUAUUGCUUAUUGGUGACACAUCAUUUGGUUUGCAAAUUUAGCUUCAUAAUUUAGUCUCUCUAACAUUAUCUAAAUAAAAAUAAUGUGGAGUGUGAAGAAGAAGAAGAAGAAGAAUUAAGAAAUUUUGAAUUGAUUAUGUAGUCAAUCAAGUGAAAUGUGGAUUAAUUGUGGACCCGAAUAGGAUCCGGCUUGAAACAAAACAAGCAGAAAUGGACAAGUAAUUGAAAAGGAUAAGGUACCAAAUGUAUAUGGUGACAAAUGCAAAACUGAUCAUGAAGUGAAGGACGGGGCCCUGCAUGCUUGGCUACCUCAAGUGCAACGGAGGCGUCACAAAGACGUAUUUUUUACACCAUUCACUUGAUUGAUUAUUGUUAAUUAGCUUUCUUAAUUCGGAAUUAAUUUUAACCUUAUCCGAAAUUAAGCUCAACCAUACGAGUGACAUGAUCAUAAGUUUUAUUGGCCGAAAUGUGUGACCAACCAACUUUUCAAUACUUGACCAGAUCAUAUAUAUAUCCUUAAAAGAGUGCUUGAUGGAUGUUCUCUAUAUAUAUGUUGUUCAAAAUAAUAUGAUCAAGAGGUGCAGUAUCUAAGUGUGAAAUCUGUAAAGAGUAUUUACCCAAUUUUUCACACACGUUUUGCAGGCCUACUCCGUAACGUGUUUAACGAUUCGAGCUGUCUAUUUUGUAGAACAUUAUUCAUAGAUAAUCCUUACAAAAAAUUAGACAAAUACAAAACCACCAUUAAAACAUUCAUUUGUAGUGAAGAAAAUGGACGAAUAUAGUUCUACAAAGUAACCUUAAAUCCUUAAUCCCACACGGUCAUAUGGUUUAAGAUUUAGGUAUUUUGACAGACAUGAUCCUUGAGGAAAUACCUAAAAGAUAGAUGUUUGGAUCGUUGGAAUACAUUACGAAGUGGACCUCACAAAAAUGUGUCUAUAUACAUAUAAAAGUGAAAAGAAUAAUAUCAUUGAGGAUUUUCUGCUUAUCUGUAUUUCUACAAAUCUUUAUCAUUUUAGGAUCCAAGAUUGCUAUACUGAAGUAGAAUAUUAGAGAAUAAGCUCGGAUGAUUCUAUAUUAUUUACUUGAUACUAGCUAGUAUUCUGUUUUGGAAGAGAGAUUCAUAUCUUUACCAACUAGGCUGUGCUAAUUUGAUCUCUGAACCUUACCCCGAUUAGUAUAUUAACCGGAUAAUUAGGGAAAGUAAUUCCUGCCUUUGUGUAUAAGAAAGGAGGCCACAUAUGUAGAGAAAUACUAUCAUACUAGAUCAUGAACCAUAACGUGCAUUAAUCAUGUUGAUUCUUAUUAAAAAAUAAUAAUAAGAGAAUAUCACAAUCAAACAACAUAAGUUUAAUAAAAGAAUAAGAUGCUAACAAAUUUACUGACACGUUAAAAAAAAUUAAGAUUUUGACAUCAUCUCUAGCUAAGUUGGAAUUAUAGAGUACUUAAUCAGAGUGAAUUCGGAUUGCAGGCGCUCAUUAAGGCUUAUUGUAUGCUAGUCCAAAAGGAACAAAACCGUAGCCAUUUCCGAGGGAAUAAUUUAGCUGGAGCAUUGGAGGUGGUGGAUCGACGAGGGGUUUACAAUAUAUAUAUAUAAUUAAAGGCAUAACCCCAUUUUAUGCCAGGCUACGUACUUGACUUAUGUUGCCAGCCAGCUGCAUGAGUUUUACACACACACACACACAUAUAUAUAAACACAGGUUUGACGUGGGCUUCAUGAUUGGAUACAAAUUAAGAAAUUUAGUGACAGUUGAUGUGUGUGUGUAUAUAAAUAUAUAUCCUUCUUCAAUCUUCAGCACUUACCUUUAAAAAUAUAUGAACAUAUAUUUCAAUAUAUUUAAAAGAAUCAUGUUAGACCAAAGAUACUACGCGUGCCAGUUCGGAAGCACUUGUGAGUUUAAUGGAGCCAAUAUUCGAGAUUGGUAUUAUAUAUGCAUGAUAUUCCUAGAAUAAUGUUCGGAGUUGGACACCGAUCGUUAAACAAUUUGAAAUUAAUGUUGAAAGUAUGAAUAGAUGUAUGGCGGAGAUUGGUUUAUGAUUGAAUAUGGUGCAGAUUGGUCUAGGAAGAGUUUGUUAGAAUGUUAGGUUAGAACUAAAAAUUAAGGUUAGCUCUAUACAAGGAUUACAUGCUAUUUAAAACAAGAUCAAUAUGUAUGUGUGUCGUGUUAACCACAUACCAUUGCGUCAUUACACACACACACACACACACACACAAAAGGUUAAUGUUAUACAAUCAGGUAAAGCUUUUGAGGAUACCUGAAGACGACAUUGAGUUGGAUGAACGAGAGAACCCUAGUCUGCAAGUAAUCGUUCAAGGAAAGUCUUCUACUCACUUGAAGCCUUUAUGUUCUUAUGGUGAUAGAACCCUUUUCUUAGAACGUUUUUUCUAUGAGCGGGGAAUUCCUACAUUUAUUGUGGCAAUGGCAGCCAACUUCCAUCUAUCGUGGAAGUAUGGUUAUUGUCCUGUUGCACCAAAUCCCGGUUUAAAUGGAAUAAUGGAUUAGUGGUAAAAUACCUUAAGUGAUUAUUUCAAAACAUUUUGAAUGUGCUUCUACAAAAAUAGGAUGUUAACUUUUCCACGUAUUCAAACUCUAUAGAAUUAUAUUAUCAACAUGUACCCUCUCCUUUAUCACAACUUGUUAAGUCCAAAUAGGAUUCUUAAAUUCUCCCACAUGGACGCUAACUAGUUGUGGUUUAGAAGUUCCAUGUCUAAUAUGAAUUCAUUCUUUAGUGAUCACUUUGAGUUUUAAGCAACUAACGUCUUAUUCACAUUUACUAGUAAUCGUUUAAGGAUUGAACUUUAGGAAAUAAUACAUGUACUAAUAAUGUAUUCACCCUAAAAUCACAAUCCUCAAAUUCAUACUAUAUAAUGCAAGUGUAAUCAAACAUUUAUACACAUUAAUAACAUAAUUUAAUCUGUAUCUCAAUUCAUCUCUCCCACUGAACAAUCCAACUAACCAUUGUCGAGCCUUUGUUUGGUUGCAAUGUUCUCAUAACACUUGAUUAAACAAGCUUCUUUAUCACUCAAGUUCCUGAGCAUUACCUCAACUUGUAUCAGCUUGCUGCAAGCAUAUAUUUGUAUAUACAAACGACUGAAACAAUCAUCAAGGUUGAAUUCAUCAACAUGUCAACUAAAAACCAUGAAGAACAAAACACAUGAAUUCAUACUUAUUCAAAUAGGGAAAUUCACUCCCACAUAACAGCAGAAUUGAAUGAGUCAAUGACUCCCAUAUUCAUGACAUGAUCCUUGAACACUCCAACAACUAAGGGCUUUAUGAGAAGAUACUCCUGCCUUCACCUUUUCCUUUAUGGACAAAUAUUUCACAUCCAUCAUUCAUACAUGUUUAUGUUACACCUUUGGGUAAGAAACAUAAACAUCAUUUUGAAAAUAGAUUAUGUAACCUUAUUGUAUAAUAGUCAUGUAAAAGAUUAGGAAAACAACCAAGAUUUGAAGUCUUUGGACAAUAAAAUAAUCAACUUAAUUCUCUUAAAACUGUUAUACCCUAAAAAAAUCUCAAACCAUUCAUACAUUCUUCUAUUUGGAAAAGAAUAUUGACAUAUUACAAGUUUUAAAACCAUAAUUUACAUAAUCCAGUAGGUACACAAGCCUGCACUUCAAAAUCUCGCUCAGAAGUUUUUCCUGAAAAAGUAAAGGUUAGUGCAAAAAAUAUUUGUGAGAACCCGUAUUCCAUAAUUAUAUUAUAAGUUGUCCUAUAUAUGUGUGUGUGUCAACUAGAGUUGUAUGUUGA